GAUGAAGAACGUAGUGAAAUGCGAUACGUAAUGUGAAUUGCAGAAUUCAGUGAAUCAUCGAGUCUUUGAACGCACAUUGCGCCCCCUGGUAUUCCGGGGGGCAUGCCUGUCCGAGCGUCAUUGCUGCCCUCAAGCACGGCUUGUGUGUUGGGCCUCCGUCCUCCUCCCGGGGGACGGGCCCGAAAGGCAGCGGCGGCACCGCGUCCGGUCCUCGAGCGUAUGGGGCUUCGUCACCCGCUCUUGUAGGCCCGGCCGGCGCUUGCCGACACAUCAAUCUUUUUUCCAGGUUGACCUCGGAUCAGGUAGGGAUACCCGCUGAACUUAAGCAUAUCAGUAAGCGGAGGA
Molecule: unclassified non-coding RNA, 345 nt
Filed under: soil metagenome
Description: partial contains 5.8S ribosomal RNA, internal transcribed spacer 2, and large subunit ribosomal RNA
Rfam family: 5.8S ribosomal RNA (bases 1-120)
Source: RNAcentral